GACGUAGGGGGCCAGCGUUGUUCGGAAUUACUGGGCGUAAAGCGCACGUAGGCGGCUUUCUAAGUCGGGGGUGAAAUCCUGGAGCUCAACUCCAGAACUGCCUUCGAUACUGGAAAGCUCGAGUCCGGGAGAGGUGAGUGGAACUGCGAGUGUAGAGGUGAAAUUCGUAGAUAUUCGCAAGAACACCAGUGGCGAAGGCGGCUCACUGGCCCGGUACUGACGCUGAGGUGCGAAAGCGUGGGGAGCAAACAGG
Molecule: ribosomal RNA, 253 nt
Filed under: uncultured bacterium
Lineage: Bacteria
Description: partial 16S ribosomal RNA
Rfam family: Bacterial small subunit ribosomal RNA
Source: RNAcentral